AUGGAUGGACUCAUCCCCUUGGUCAUGAACGUUCUCAAGAAGAAGAAGGCCAUGGCCUACCACCGGUCUCUCUCCCCGGGUUCGGCAAGCGUCGACAUCGCCAAGCUCGCGGGGCAGGACCUCCCCAUGAUUCCUCGGCGCUCCAGGUGGCCGCAUGAAGGCUCCCCUGCUGCUGCUGCUCGGACAACCAUGGCCAUGGAAGCACCACUCAUGCCCAGGGGCAACACGAGACGCGUCAUGGAGCCGAUGCCACGGGAGACAUUCUCGCCGCGCACCAUGAACCGGGGCACAGGAAGGAAGCAAGCUCUCUCUGUUAAUCACGGUGAUCGUACCAGUCUUUGUUCGUGA
This 348-nucleotide ribosomal RNA is filed under the name Triticum aestivum (bread wheat). RNAcentral's name for it is "partial small subunit ribosomal RNA". The record is from RNAcentral. Lineage: Eukaryota; Viridiplantae; Streptophyta; Magnoliopsida; Poales; Poaceae.